Molecule: long non-coding RNA, 1878 nt
Organism: Cavia porcellus (domestic guinea pig)
Lineage: Eukaryota; Metazoa; Chordata; Mammalia; Rodentia; Caviidae
Exons: 4
Source: RefSeq, a predicted model, not a curated record
UGAGUUUGACACUGAUUGGUCUUCAGAGGCGAGAAAAAAAGAAACAUUUACUUGUCUGGAAAUUCUCUGACUCACGGUCUCUCUGUGAAGGAAAACAGCAGACCAUUCCAGAUCAGCGCAGCCUGUGGUGCCCACUCAAAGUGCAGAAGAAAUUGCUCUUCACUGUUGAAGGCCACGGAAGUUUUGUGAUCCUUUGUCACUGCAGCACAAAGCCGGCUAAUAAAGAUCAAAGAUGAUUUGGUUUGGAUUCAGCUUCUCAGUAGGCAUCACCAUGUAUCAGGAAAGAGCAAGAAGGAGCAGAGGAGUGUGGGGAGCGGCGGAAGCUGGAGAUGGAUGCUGUAUGGGACUGGACAAGGCCAGCCCCAAGAACACAAACACCUGAGACAAACCACGUAGAUAAGCUAUGAGGAGAUGGAAACACAUCUCACUUCAUACCUUCUGUGGUGGAUUGGUAACUGGUGGUCCCCUUGUAACACCAGCUGAACUGAAUCAGUGUGGUGCUGAGUGUGGAUGGCCCACGUGAGGAUUGCUACCAACAUAAAAAGGAGACCUGGAGAGGAAGAGUGUGCUGCUGGCUCUCCUGUUGCUGCUAAUUUUCCUGGAGGGGCUUGUUGAGCUUCUUUCCUGAUAUGAACUUGGCUGUUCUCAUCAUCAGAGGACUUGGGACCUUGUUUUUCACUGUGGAUGGCUGCAGUUCUCUUUGGGGGAGCUCUGGUCCUAACUUUGAGCAUUGCUUCCUGGUUUCAGUGCGGAACCCUCAACUUCCUGGACAAACCCUUCAUCCCAGUGGCACAAACUUUCUGGCUGCCACCACUGACUUUGGGCCUUGCUCGCACAGAUCCAUGAAACAGACUUUCAUGAGUCCUUGUUGUGGGGUGUACCGGCCUCCACUUAGACUUAUGGGGGGCAUUGCUAUGGGUUGUAGGUCUUCAGCUGGACUCAUGCAGAAUGUUGCCACAGGAUCCAGGCCCUCAGAUGGAUUCUUUGUAUCUUUGUGUGGACAGAUUUCCUGUGCUUUCUUUUGUAUUUGACUGGUUGAUCGUUAUAAAAUAAUACUGUAAAUUAUGUCUCCUGUAUGUAGUCGUUUUCCUUGUAAUUCCUGAAUAUAACACCUUCGUACUUCUUUCUGUUUCUUUACUGCAUUUGGGCAUUGUUUAUUUCCCAGUAGUUAUAGAAAUGCUUUGUUAUUUUUAAACAUUGGAUUACAUUUUUCUUUAUGGCAAUCUUAGAUUUGCUCCAAUAGUGGUUAGUUGAGGGGGAAAUAUGUUACAAGACGCAUGGCCUUAUUUGUGUAUUUCAUACCUAAAUGAGUUUUAUGUGUAGAAUAAAACUUUAGGUGUGAAACUUCUAGAUUAGAAUAUGUGCUUUAAACAUUUAUUAACGUUAAUAAGUAGCUGUUAAUAACAGCUGUUCAGCUGUUUUCAAAUUCUUCUUCAUGGAAUUUGUAUAAUUGUUUUUUAUUUUAAGAAGAAAAAAGUAAAACAAUUUCAAAACAAGAUAUUAGGAGACUAACAUAAUUAAUACAUUGCAUAUUAUUAUCUUCAGAGUAAUUACUCAGGGUACAAGAUAUGGGCAUAUUUUCCAAACAAUAUUAGCACAAAUCUUACUUUUCAAUGAACUAAGAGAAACUCACAGUAUAACUUUCUUAACUAUCUUGCAUAUAUAUUUUUUUCUCUUCUUUCUCUUCUUCAUCACAGUUUCUCUUUUCUUUUAAACAUCUUCCCAGUUCACAGUAUCUGUUGUUCAUUUAGAGUUUAUUUACUAAUUCGACUUCUCACACUGGUGAGACUAUAUGAUGUUUACACAUACAUGUCUGAUUUAUUUCACUUAACAGAAUUGUCUCAAGUCUCAUACUUUUAACUAUAAAAGUCUCAAGCU